Molecule: non-coding RNA, 87 nt
Filed under: Proteus mirabilis
Lineage: Bacteria; Pseudomonadati; Pseudomonadota; Gammaproteobacteria; Enterobacterales; Morganellaceae
Also listed under: 1 other name
Source: RNAcentral
AUAGAGGUUUUUCGCACAAGGGCACGACAUUGCUCACAUUGCUUCCAGUAUUAUUUUACUAGCCAGCUCGGGUGCUGGCUUUUUUUU